Molecule: ribosomal RNA, 258 nt
Filed under: uncultured Enterococcaceae bacterium
Lineage: Bacteria; Bacillati; Bacillota; Bacilli; Lactobacillales; Enterococcaceae
Description: partial 16S ribosomal RNA
Rfam family: Bacterial small subunit ribosomal RNA
Source: RNAcentral
CCGGAUUUAUUGGGCGUAAAGCGAGCGCAGGCGGUUUCUUAAGUCUGAUGUGAAAGCCCCCGGCUCAACCGGGGAGGGUCAUUGGAAACUGGGAGACUUGAGUGCAGAAGAGGAGAGUGGAAUUCCAUGUGUAGCGGUGAAAUGCGUAGAUAUAUGGAGGAACACCAGUGGCGAAGGCGGCUCUCUGGUCUGUAACUGACGCUGAGGCUCGAAAGCGUGGGGAGCAAACAGGAUUAGAUACCCUGGUAGUCAAGGGCG